This 344-nucleotide long non-coding RNA is filed under the name Gossypium raimondii (Peruvian cotton). RNAcentral's name for it is "long non-coding RNA (GRAI_LNC010409)". Lineage: Eukaryota; Viridiplantae; Streptophyta; Magnoliopsida; Malvales; Malvaceae. The record is from RNAcentral.
GAACCCUUUUCAAGUUUUUCAAAGGAAUUUUAUGGUAACCAAAAGCAUCUUGUUGGGGAUAUAAUGGCCAUGUAAUCACCAAAGUGGACCCAUUCUUGUAAUUCUCCCAUGUUCUGGUUUCGACACGUUGAACACUUCAAAAGUAAAGGAAUGUUUAAGAUUGAGGUUUAUGUCAUGUUGUCAACUCAAACUACAUUAACUCACAAAGAAAAAAAAAAAAGAAAAGAAAAGAAAAAGGAAAUCUUGACCCAUAUAUGCAAAUAGAAAUGGUUUAAUAUCGCUUUCAGCCCCUGUAUGCUUUGGGUUAUAAAAUGCUUUUACUUUGUGAAAUCCAGUCCUCCUCC